GGGGCCGAGGGCUCCUUCCCUUCCUGAGGAGCCCUGGCGAUGGAGAGCCAGCGCUGCUUCCCCAACCGCUUCGCCGACUACAAGGGCAGCCUCUUGGCCGGACAGGGCCAGGAGGCGGUGGCGCCCUUGGUCCAGGCCACCAUCGCCCGCAUCCUCCGGGAGGUGCCCGGCUUAGAGCCGGAGCCGGAGGGGUCGCCCUCUGGCCGGGGCCUGGGCGAGGAGGGGGGCCUGUACGGGGGCCCUGCGGGGGUGGCCUACAUGCUCUUCCACGUGGCCCAGUGCCCGCUCUUCGCCCCCGAGAGGGAGGCCUACCUGGGGGCGGCCAAGAGGCUGGUGGAGGCCUCCCUCCGGCGCCAGGAGCAGCAAGAGGGCCAGGAGGAGGCCGAGCAGGAGGAGGCCAGGGCCACCCGGGCGGCCUUCCUCCUAGGCGGGGCCGGCCUCUACACGGCGGCCGCCCUGGUCUACCACGCCCUGGGCCUCCGAGACCAGUGCCGCCGCGCCCUCGAGCGCCUCCGACGCCUCUGCCCCCCCUGCGCCCCCGACGCCUGCCUCCCGGGAGGAUCCGACGAGCUCUUCGCCGGCAGAGCCGGCUACCUCUGCGCCGCCCUCCUCCUCAAGCAGAAGCUGGGACUCCAGGUACUGACUGCAACACAAAUCAAGUCAAUUUGUCAUGCAAUGUUAGAAUCCGGGAAACAGUAUGCAUUGAGGAAGAGGAAGCCAGUUCCCCUCAUGUACUCUUACUAUGGAACAGAAUAUCUUGGGGCUGCUCAUGGACUUUCAUCCAUCUUACAGAUGCUGCUCUCCUAUUAUGAAUACCUCCCAACCACUGAUCAGGAACUAGUAUGGCAGAGUGUUGACUUUCUCAUGGAUCAAGAGCAGGAUUGCAACUGGCCUCCAGAACUAGGAGAGAUGAUUGAGCGGGAAAAUGAACUUGUACACUGGUGUCAUGGAGCUCCAGGCAUUGCAUAUAUGUUUGCAAAGGCAUACUUAGUUUCAAAGAAGCCCCAGUAUCUAGAUAGUUGUAUUCGCUGUGGAGAACUAACUUGGCAGAAGGGACUACUGAAGAAAGGACCUGGGAUAUGUCAUGGAGUGGCUGGCAGUGCUUAUGUGUUCCUGCUCCUCUACAGACUUACAGGAAAUUCUAAAUACAUAUACAGAGCGCAAAGGUUAGUACUAGUAGUUAUUAAAAAAACAGCAUGUGAAGUACAUAGCAUAUUACAGGAAAAUUCCAAUUGCAGAGCAAAAAGCUUAGUAUUAUGGCAGACUUAACUAAUACUAAUACUGGCCCAGUCCAGAUGGGCCAAAUGCGCCAUGCUGGCGGCGUACUAGGCAACUGCACGGUCCCUAACCCUAAUACGGCACGGCGCCAUAACAAUGGCGGCGCCCCGUGUAUACGGGUGCCAGCAUUGUGACGUGAUGGACACAUAGUGUCCGCACAUCACGCCAUGCCGGUUACAUCAUGUGAGCCAUUGGCGCACUCGGGUGUAACUGUCACGACACAAAACGAACCUGCUUUUCGUGGAUUCUUUUUUCUCCGCAGGGAAGCCGUACGGUUUGGUGGCUGAGGCUUCCCUGCGGGGGGAAAGACGCCGGCAGGCCUCCCUUUUUGGGAGGUCUGUAGCGGGCCAUAAUCACUACCUAAAAAUCAAGUACUUGUUUAAACCAGCCUCAGAACAUCCUGCAGAAAUACUUCUGAAUUUUGUAUUUAUGAUUUCUUUUGGUAACCAGAUAUGAAAAUGAACUGUUGAUAUUUGUUAGGCUACUUUAUGAAGCAUCUAGCUUUGUUUUUCCUUUUUUACUCUCUUGAUUCAUCAGGAAGAAGAAGACGAGAAAGCCAGUCAGUUCAUAAAAUAAAAAUACUACAAAUUAACUUGUUUAUAUUUUCCCUCUUGUAGCAAAAAUUAUUCAGUUACCUACGACUGCAGCCACUUGCGAAUAUUUUAUUCACACUCCUUAUACAACAUCCAAUUUAUUAUAUUUCUGAGGAAGUUUAAAAUUGAAAAAUAGAUACUGAGUCAUUUGUGGAAUUAUGGAUGCCCAAUAAAUUGUGUCAAAUAGAAUUUGAAAAGGAACCAAAGACCUAGUUUUGAUGGGAAGCUUGCCAUGUAGAACCAAGAUAGAGUCCAGUAAGAAAUGGAGCCAUGAAGAACUAAAGCCAGUAAUGUAAGAUGGAGAAAACCUGGGACCAGACCCGGAAAAGUCGCAAUAAUAUGUAUGGUUUGCUGAAUUUUUGUUUACUGAAGAAUUCAAGGCUGGAUCCAAAGAACUGGAAAGUUUUUAUAGCCUUUUUGAAGGUUUCUCAGG
Molecule: RNA transcript, 2304 nt
Organism: Sceloporus undulatus (fence lizard)
Lineage: Eukaryota; Metazoa; Chordata; Lepidosauria; Squamata; Phrynosomatidae
Gene: LANCL3
Gene name: LanC like 3
Exons: 5
Source: RefSeq, a predicted model, not a curated record